RNAcentral lists this ribosomal RNA (253 nucleotides) under uncultured bacterium. RNAcentral describes it as "partial 16S ribosomal RNA". It matches the Rfam family "Bacterial small subunit ribosomal RNA", at positions 524 to 776 of the family's 1533-position model. The record is from RNAcentral.
UACGGAGGAUGCAAGCGUUAUCCGGAAUGAUUGGGCGUAAAGCGUCCGCAGGUGGCUGUGUCAGUCUGCUGUUAAAGAGUCAUGCUCAACAUGAUAAGAGCAGUGGAAACUACACGGCUAGAGUGCGUUCGGGGCAGAGGGAAUUCCUGGUGUAGCGGUGAAAUGCGUAGAGAUCAGGAAGAACACCGGUGGCGAAAGCGCUCUGCUAGGCCGCAACUGACACUGAGGGACGAAAGCUAGGGGAGCGAAUGGG